UCAUCCCUGAAAAAAAACCAUGAUUUCCCCUCUGUGUGCUAUAGGUGUGACCAACUCCUGUCCCAGCGUCCUUUGGCUGUGGUAAAAUGUCCACGAUCCUGAAAUGGUUUGGACGGGAAGAAAAGGAGAGAGAGGAGAAGGAAGAGGAGAAGAAACAGGAGGCAGAGGAGGAAAAGGACAAGGGAGCUGGGGACGAUGACAACAGGAGCAGCAGCAGCACAGAGAAUCCCCAGGAAGAGGGCCGUGCUGAGGAUGAUGAGAAGGAAGCCCAAGAGUAGAAUUGCUGAGUCCACCGAGGAGGUGGGGAUGCUGAAGGGGGUUGACCACUGGUAGUCAAAUAAAAGCAUUUGGAUCCCAAAGAGAGAUGCUAUU
RNAcentral lists this long non-coding RNA (372 nucleotides) under Coturnix japonica (Japanese quail). RNAcentral's name for it is "lncRNA (ENSCJPG00005007197.1)". Lineage: Eukaryota; Metazoa; Chordata; Aves; Galliformes; Phasianidae. The record is from RNAcentral.